This 123-nucleotide small nucleolar RNA is filed under the name Gadus morhua (Atlantic cod). Its description in RNAcentral is "Small nucleolar RNA SNORD22 (ENSGMOG00000034562.1)". It matches the Rfam family "Small nucleolar RNA SNORD22". Rfam says of the family: U22 is a member of the C/D class of snoRNA which contain the C (UGAUGA) and D (CUGA) box motifs. Lineage: Eukaryota; Metazoa; Chordata; Actinopteri; Gadiformes; Gadidae. The record is from Rfam by way of RNAcentral.
CCCUAACAAUGACACCCCCACAUGUCGUACGCCUUGGGUCAACGCCAGAACCUGAGAAGGUGAACCCACUGGUGCCAAGGCAGCAAGGAGACGGCCUGUUGUGUUUGCAACCGUCUGAAUGGU